RNAcentral lists this ribosomal RNA (326 nucleotides) under uncultured eukaryote. Its description in RNAcentral is "partial 18S ribosomal RNA". It matches the Rfam family "Eukaryotic small subunit ribosomal RNA", at positions 1470 to 1796 of the family's 1831-position model. The record is from RNAcentral.
CCCUUAUAUGUUCUGGGCUGCACGCGCGCUACACUGAUGCGUUCAACGAGUUUAUGACCUUGCCCGAUAGGGUUGGGUAAUUUUUGUAAACCGCAUCGCGAUGGGGUAGAUUACUGCAGUUUUUUAAUCUUCAACGAGGAGUUCCUAGUAAGCGCGAGUCGCCAGCUCGUGCUGAUUACGUCCCUGCCCCUUGUAAACACCGCCCGUCGCUCGCACCGAUUGAGUGAUCCGGUGAGUAAUUCGGACUGCAGCAGUUUUCAGUUCCUGAACGUUGCAGCGGAAAGUUUAGUGGUCUUUAUCACUUGGAGGAAGGAGAUGUCUUAGCA